GACGAACGCUGGCGGCGUGCUUAACACAUGCAAGUCGAACGGUGAAGCGCCUUCCUUUUUGGUGGGUGUGGAUGAGUGGCGAACGGGUGAGUAACACGUGAGUAACCUGCCCCCUUCUGCUGGAUAACCGCAUGAAAGUGUGGCUAAUACGGGAUAUUCUGCGUCUGUCGCAUGAUGGGUCUGGGAAAGAUAUUGUUUCGGUGGGGGAUGGGCUCGCGGUCUAUCAGCUUGUUGGUGGGGUGAUGGCCUACCAAGGCGGUGACGGGUAGCCGGCCUGAGAGGGUGGCCGGUCACACUGGGACUGAGACACGGCCAAGACUGCUACGGGAGGCAGCAGUGGGGAAUAUUGCACAAUGGGCGCAAGCAUGAUGCAGCGACGCCGCGUGAGGGAUGGAGGCCUUCGGGUUGUGAACCUCUUUCGCCAGUGAAGCAGGCCUGCCUUGUUUGUGGGUGGGUUGACGGUAGCUGGAUAAGAAGCGCCGGCUAACUACGUG
RNAcentral lists this ribosomal RNA (494 nucleotides) under uncultured bacterium. Its description in RNAcentral is "partial 16S ribosomal RNA". It matches the Rfam family "Bacterial small subunit ribosomal RNA", at positions 28 to 507 of the family's 1533-position model. The record is from RNAcentral.